GAAGUUAAAGAUAAAAAUAAAAAUUUCUCAAAAAAAUACUCCCCCAGUCCCUGAAAUAAGUUCAUCUUUUUCCUUUUUGGGACGUCCUCCAAAUAAGUAAUCUUUCUUUCUUUCCAUUUUUGGACAACUACCCAACCACUAAUAAUACUUUAUUUAUUCUUACUUUUCACUUUUUCACCACUCCCAAUACUAAUUAUAAUACAUUUUCACAUUUUCAC
RNAcentral lists this long non-coding RNA (218 nucleotides) under Salvia miltiorrhiza (redroot sage). RNAcentral's name for it is "long non-coding RNA (SMIL_LNC003672)". Lineage: Eukaryota; Viridiplantae; Streptophyta; Magnoliopsida; Lamiales; Lamiaceae. The record is from RNAcentral.